UACGUAGGGUGCGAGCGUUGUCCGGAAUUACUGGGCGUAAAGAGCUCGUAGGCGGUUUGUCGCGUCGUCCGUGAAAACUUGGGGCUCAACCCCAAGCUUGCGGGCGAUACGGGCAGACGUUGAGUACUGCAGGGGAGACUGGAAUUCCUGGUGUAGCGGUGAAAUGCGCAGAUAUCAGGAGGAACACCGGUGGCGAAGGCGGGUCGCUGGGACGGUACUGACGCUGAGACGCGAAAGCGUGGGGAGCAAACAGG
Molecule: ribosomal RNA, 254 nt
Filed under: uncultured bacterium
Lineage: Bacteria
Description: partial 16S ribosomal RNA
Rfam family: Bacterial small subunit ribosomal RNA
Source: RNAcentral